Molecule: long non-coding RNA, 1529 nt
Filed under: Cricetulus griseus (Chinese hamster)
Lineage: Eukaryota; Metazoa; Chordata; Mammalia; Rodentia; Cricetidae
Description: lncRNA (ENSCGRG00015023811.2)
Source: RNAcentral
GUCUCUUUGAAAGCCUUGGAUCAUCCUGGCUCCCAACAGGCUCCAGUGAUACAGGGCCUUGUAAGCUAUGAUGGAAAGUUUGGAUUUUAUUCUGGUUGCAGUGGAAUAGUAUUGUAGGUCUUGAAGACAAUGAAUAAACUUGAUUUAAUUUCAGCUUUCAAAUUGUUACUCUGGCUGCUAUGUGCAAAAUAAGGAACUUGGAAGAAUGGAAAUUAAAUAGACUAUUUUAUUGGCCAAGGAAAGAGGUGACAGCGGCUGGACCAGGAUAGCAGCAAUGGAGACAAUGGUAAAAGCUUGGAGAUAACAUAUGACCCAAUGGUACUGGAUGUAAUCACUUAGGAAGAAGGUAUGAUGAAAAAUGCACUCCUGGGUCCCACCCUGGCACUGUGUUAUUUGGAGAUCUUGUAUGAGAGGAAGAGUCAAAAAUGGAAAUGGAGUGAAUAAGAACGCCAUGUAAGAAUAGGACCUCUCAAGUCUGGAGAAAGUUUUCAGAAAGGAGUGGCCACCUGUGUCAAGUGCUGUGAAGAUGCCAGUGAGCAUCUAUAACACAGAGAGACCUCAGCAAGAGCUGAUACUGGACUAGGUUGCUAUGCUGAAAGAAGUACUUUCCUUGGACUGACACUGUCAUGGACCUUACUAAUUUUUAAAGUCGUAUGAAAAAAGUCGCCAUUCUCCAAAGUGGAUUAAAACAUACACAGGUCUCUGCCCUCCAAACAGUGGGGUUUCACGGAAUUCCAUGUGAUUGCCAGCAAAGCUGGCAAGCAAUCCAAUGUGGGAUAUUCUUCUGUAUGCUGUGAGUAUAUGUUGCUUUUAUUGGUUGAUUAAUAAAGCUGUUUUGGCCUAUGGCAGGGCAGAAUAUAUCAAGGAAGGAAAUACAAACAGAGAUGUGGAGAGAAAGAAGGUGGAGUCAGGCAAAUGCCAAGUAGCCACCCGAGGAGUGAGAUGCUAGAGUAUUACUGUUUUUGACUGUUAAUGAGCCAACUGCAGAGAGACAUUUGAUUGUGGGAGCUGCUAAGCUAAACCAACGCAUAUAUUUUAAAGCAGGUGGCUACUGACAACCUGGAGAUGGGUCUCUAAUGUGUCUCCUAUGGGAUCACCAACCUGAAAAGAAUGUCUCAGGGAAAGAAUUGCUACUUCUGGAACUAAAAUAGUUGUAGUAUUUCACUCAUGUUUCCAGACAGCUGGAAAACAAGGAAAAGCAUGACCUUUGUGACUGGAUUUUAAAAAAAAAGGUCCAAACCAGAGAGACCAUUGCCACCAACUAAAGAAAUGAAAAGGAAUAUACCGGAAUACAAAUGACUUCAUACCAACACUCAGACAAUUCAGACAGAAUGGACACAUUUUCAGAAAGGCAAAAACUAUAGAAUCUGACUCAAGAGGAAGAAGACUAAACUUAACCACAUGGCUUAAGGCUCUUCUGGUGACUUCCCAGUCCAUCCUCCCCACCCUGGACACUUUGGAACUUGAAGCAGAAAUUCUAGCCUUGCAGGUAUACUUGCUAUCUUCCCUGUUGUUCCACGAUUUUGUUG